UAAGACUCCUUGUACUGUGUCCCAGCUAUCCGUGCCUGACUUUGAUCCUCACUGCUUCAUAAUGAGCCAGAAUGCCUCCAGGUCAAGUAGCAGAGAUGCAUGCCAUAGCACCAUCUGUCAGACUUUUUGAAAAGAAGCAAGUCCCAGACAAUGUGAGGCCUGCACAGAAAAAUCAGCUACGAUGUUCUUAGCCGCUGCUGAAGUAGAACAUGCAUUUGGAAGGCAAGACAACAACUCCCUUUUAUGCUGCAAACAGUUUAAGCAAGUUUGUGACAUCCUUCAUUUUGCACCAUUACUUGAGAAACUGAAAGUGAGGAUUCUGACAAGGUUUGGAUCCUGUAAACUUUUGCUAUUAGUUGUUUUGAGCUGACUCGCACUUCUGGGAAGCAUCCAUACCUUUCACAAGAAAUCAGGAAGACUAAAAUUAGAAAGACUAUACAUAUUCAGAUGAGGCUGUUUUAGGGAGUAAUUUAUUGCUAAUAUAUAGGGUGUUUUUUUGGCUAGAAAAAUGCUCUGGAACAUGCCACGCACGUAUAUUAUGAAGCUUUAUAGAGGCCUGUGGUGCUUAUUCUUUAACAAGCUUUAGGUUAGGUGACUAUAAAUUUGUACAGUUGUAUAGUGCCAGAUUAAUUGUAUGGAUUGCAUGAGAUAAGAGUUGAUGGCUUUUUUUAAUUAUAUGUCAAAUUAAACAUAAAUCUUCCUGUGCACUUUUCUUGAGCAUGGGAUGCUGUUGUAUCUGAUCUUACAGAUUGGUUGCUUUACCCUUCUUUAAAACAUUCUGGCAUAACAGCCAUUUCUUUAUGACUAAGUGAACAACCAGUGUCUAAAUAAACAAACACCUUAUAUUAAUAUUAGAAACAUAGAAAAGGAAAUGUUUAAGAACAAUGCUAUCAAAUCUUCUGUCAGCUAACAAAAAAAAGUUUUUUAACUAUCUAGUACAGUUUGGCAUA
Molecule: long non-coding RNA, 950 nt
Organism: Pygoscelis adeliae (Adelie penguin)
Lineage: Eukaryota; Metazoa; Chordata; Aves; Sphenisciformes; Spheniscidae
Exons: 3
Source: RefSeq, a predicted model, not a curated record